RNAcentral lists this ribosomal RNA (445 nucleotides) under uncultured bacterium. RNAcentral's name for it is "bacterial SSU rRNA". It matches the Rfam family "Bacterial small subunit ribosomal RNA", at positions 29 to 476 of the family's 1533-position model. The record is from RNAcentral.
AUUGAACGCUGGCGGCGUGCCUAACACAUGCAAGUCGAGCGGUAACAGGUGUAGCAAUACAUGCUGACGAGCGGCGAACGGGUGAGUAAUGCUUCGGAAUCUACCCAAUGGUGGGGAAUAACCAGCCGAAAGGUUGGCUAAUACCGCAUACGUCCCACGGGAGAAAGCAGGGGAUCGCAAGACCUUGCGCCAAUGGAUGAGCCGAAGUCGGAUUAGCUAGUUGGAGGGUAACGGCCUACCAAGGCGACGAUCCGUAGCUGGUCUGAGAGGACGACCAGCCACACUGGGACUGAGACACGGCCCAGACUCCUACGGGAGGCAGCAGUGGGGAAUAUUGGACAAUGGGGGAAACCCUGAUCCAGCGACGCCGCGUGUGUGAAGAAGGCCUGCGGGGUUGUAAAAGCACUCUUAGUGGGGAUGAAAUGUUCAGGGUUAACACCUCUGG